Pelobates cultripes (western spadefoot toad) is the source of this 279-nucleotide non-coding RNA. The record is from the annotation of a GenBank genome assembly. NCBI's taxonomy places the organism in Eukaryota, Metazoa, Chordata, Amphibia, Anura, Pelobatidae.
AAAGGACUUCGACCUAACUUUUGACCUACUGGCCUAAUUUGUAUGAUUUUUGACGUAUGUUUGUAUUUGGAGUAUGCUGAUUCUGAAAAUGUAAAUUUUAUGUGAAUGUGAUGCAUACUUUUAAAGUUAUGAAUAUUGUAUAAAACUGUGUAUUUUCCUGCCUGUGAUAAUUAUAUUAAACCAUUGUGUAAGUUAAUUGUAUCACAGACAGAGAGGAGGAUUUUGUGUGGGCGUGUCUGAGUGUAUUGUACGUGUUUAUUGGUUGUUUUACAAAACCCU